GGUUGAACUAACUUAACUAGUUUGUUUUUCUAGUUAAGACACUUAAGUCAAGGUAAAAAUUCUUUGAUUCACUAGGGGACGAUAAGACCCUAGAAGCUUUAUCAAAAGUUACGGUAUUCGUUAUACCGGUAAUUUUAGUUUGCUGGGGCGGUGAAAGUGUUUAAACCACUUAAGGCUUAACUGGUCCUCUAUAUAGGGAUAGAUUGGUUUAGUUACUCUAGGGGUAACAGUGCUAUAUUUUUGGAGAGACCGUAUCGAUAAAUAUUUUUGCAACCUCGAUGUUGAAUUA
This 289-nucleotide ribosomal RNA is filed under the name Crypturopus tuberculatus. RNAcentral describes it as "partial 16S ribosomal RNA". Lineage: Eukaryota; Metazoa; Arthropoda; Malacostraca; Amphipoda; Micruropodidae. The record is from RNAcentral.